This 305-nucleotide ribosomal RNA is filed under the name uncultured bacterium. RNAcentral's name for it is "bacterial SSU rRNA". It matches the Rfam family "Bacterial small subunit ribosomal RNA", at positions 333 to 635 of the family's 1533-position model. The record is from RNAcentral.
UGACCCUACGGGGGGCAGCAGUGAGGAAUAUUGGUCAAUGGGCGCGAGCCUGAACCAGCCAAGUCGCGUGAGGGAGGACGGCCCUACGGGUUGUAAACCUCUUUUGCCGGGGAGCAACGGGCGUCACGUGUGGCGCCACUGAGAGUACCCGGAGAAAAAGCAUCGGCUAACUCCGUGCCAGCAGCCGCGGUAAUACGUAGGGGGCAAGCGUUAUCCGGAUUCACUGGGUGUAAAGGGAGCGUAGACGGCCAUGCAAGCCUGGAGUGAAAGCCCGGGGCCCAACCCCGGGACUGCUCUGGGAACUG